RNAcentral lists this small nucleolar RNA (96 nucleotides) under Triticum aestivum (bread wheat). Its description in RNAcentral is "Small nucleolar RNA R30/Z108". It matches the Rfam family "Small nucleolar RNA R30/Z108". Rfam says of the family: snoR30 is a C/D box small nucleolar RNA which acts as a methylation guide for 18S ribosomal RNA in plants. RNAcentral also lists the same sequence under 1 other name. Lineage: Eukaryota; Viridiplantae; Streptophyta; Magnoliopsida; Poales; Poaceae. The record is from Rfam by way of RNAcentral.
CGUAGUUGCGAUGAGGAUAACAAGCUCCCUCUUCUAAAAGGAUUGACAACAUCGCUGGCAGAAUCGAACCAAUUAGAUAUUGCCACCACUGACUAA